GAAAUUCGCUUUACCGAUGAGGGCCCUCUGGGUCCAACCUCCCACCCGUGUUUAUCGUACCUUGUUGCUUCGGCGGGCCCGCCUCACGGCCGCCGGGGGGCUUCUGCCCUCUGGCCCGCGCCCGCCGCUUCGGCGGGCCCGCCUCACGGCCGCCGGGGGGCUUCUGCCCUCUGGCCCGCGCCCGCCGAAGACACCAUUGAACGCUGUCUGAAGAUUGCAGUCUGAGCAAUUAGCUAAAUAAGUUAAAACUUUCAACAACGGAUCUCUUGGUUCCGGCAUCGAUGAAGAACGCAGCGAAAUGCGAUACGUAAUGUGAAUUGCAGAAUUCAGUGAAUCAUCGAGUCUUUGAACGCACAUUGCGCCCCUUGGUAUUCCGGGGGGCAUGCCUGUCCGAGCGUCAUUGCUGCCCUCAAGCACGGCUUGUGUGUUGGGCUCCGUCCUCCUUCCCGGGGGACGGGCCCGAAAGGCAGCGGCGGCACCGCGUCCGGUCCUCGAGCGUAUGGGGCUUCGUCUUCCGCUCUUGUAGGCCCGGCCGGCGCUUGCCGACAACAAUCAAUCUUUUUUCAGGUUGACCUCG
Molecule: ribosomal RNA, 577 nt
Filed under: Mucor hiemalis
Lineage: Eukaryota; Fungi; Mucoromycota; Mucoromycetes; Mucorales; Mucoraceae
Description: eukaryotic LSU rRNA
Rfam family: 5.8S ribosomal RNA (bases 247-400)
Source: RNAcentral